GCAGGGGUCAGCCUAACUAAAUUGCAGUUUUGAGCUACAACAGAUCUUGAAAGCACCAACGCCCUAGUUGGGGCUGCCUUUCCUGCUUGUUUGUGCAAGUAAGAAAGUGCUUGAUACUUGGAGCUCUUCCCCACACUCCUGUGGAUCCGCUUCCACUUAUCCCUUCUCCCUUCUGUCCCCUCCUGUUUGGAAGAGACAUCUGCUAUUUUAAUGAAAGCAUGGAACGAAGCACUUGCCGUAAGCCCGGCGGAGCUCGACCAGAUGUUUCACAGUGCAAGAAGCUAGGUAACGGAACAAAGGUUACAAAAGAGACCUGCAGAGGUGAAAGUGAGGCUCCACAGGGCAAGCUCACAAAUUUGGAUAGAACCAAAAUGGAACAAUUGGUGAACUCUGUGAAAAACAAUCUUAGAAGUGAAAUGAGCACUCUAUAUGAAGAUAUGGGGAAAUACCUACAGUUUUUGAAAGAAAGACUCAGGGAGCUUCCCAAAAUGGUCAGCGCAGAAGAGUUUCAUCAGAAGGAAGAAGAAUGUGAAAAGCUGAAGGAACAGAAGAGAGUCUUGGAGCAAAAAUUGGACCUUGUCUUGGCCAAUGCAAUGAGAAGCCAUAAGUUCUCUGAGAACUUGAAUGACCCCUGUCGAUUAUCAGCUGUGUUGGAGAUGUACGACAGGCUCAGGAUACAUGAAUGGGAGAAAGCCAAAUGUGCUGCAAGUGUCUCCACCUUUCCAAUGACGUAUGAAAAAGGUAGCACGAUAAUUAAGGCUGUGUUUUCCAUAUGUGAAGAAGAGCUGUCACAAAGA
Molecule: long non-coding RNA, 797 nt
Organism: Chelonoidis abingdonii (Abingdon island giant tortoise)
Lineage: Eukaryota; Metazoa; Chordata; Testudines; Testudinidae
Source: Ensembl